RNAcentral lists this ribosomal RNA (497 nucleotides) under uncultured bacterium. Its description in RNAcentral is "partial 16S ribosomal RNA". It matches the Rfam family "Bacterial small subunit ribosomal RNA", at positions 28 to 507 of the family's 1533-position model. The record is from RNAcentral.
GAUGAACGCUGGCGGCGUGCCUAAUACAUGCAAGUCGAGCGAACAGACGAGGAGCUUGCUCCUCUGACGUUAGCGGCGGACGGGUGAGUAACACGUGGAUAACCUACCUAUAAGACUGGGAUAACUUCGGGAAACCGGAGCUAAUACCGGAUAAUAUAUUGAACCGCAUGGUUCAAUAGUGAAAGACGGUUUUGCUGUCACUUAUAGAUGGAUCCGCGCCGCAUUAGCUAGUUGGUAAGGUAACGGCUUACCAAGGCAACGAUGCGUAGACGACCUGAGAGGGGGAUCGGCCACACUGGAACUGGGACACGGUCAAGACUCCUGCGGGAGGGACCAGUAGGGAAUCGUCCGCAAUGGGCGGAAGCCUGACGGAGCAACGCCGCGUGAGUGAUGAAGGUCUUCGGAUCGUAAAACUCUGUUAUUAGGGAAGAACAAAUGUGUAAGUAACUAUGCGCGGCUUGACGGUACCUAAUCAGAAAGCCACGGCUAACUACGUG